AGUAUAUCAGAACACCAGAAAACGUGAUAUAGAAAGUAGAACAGGAAAAUUCAUCGUCAUAAUGAAAUGAAAGAGAAUGAAGACCACACAUAGUUGACACUGGGCUGAAUAUGAGCCACUAGAUUGGAGUAUCAUAGAAUAUCCUGGGCUGAGGGAACUAUGUGAAAGACUGGGUUCUCUGGAGGACAAAGCAUGGAUAAUACAAACAGUGAAUAUAGAACAAGAAAAAAAGAUACCAACAAACACUGAAAUGUAAUCUAAGGUAAGUUACAAAGUGAAAAAAAAAGCACUAUGUAAUAUCAGUGUUUGAUGAGUCCUAUACUUUAUGAAAA
Molecule: long non-coding RNA, 332 nt
Organism: Monodelphis domestica (gray short-tailed opossum)
Lineage: Eukaryota; Metazoa; Chordata; Mammalia; Didelphimorphia; Didelphidae
Source: RefSeq, a predicted model, not a curated record